Molecule: non-coding RNA, 28 nt
Filed under: Mus musculus (house mouse)
Lineage: Eukaryota; Metazoa; Chordata; Mammalia; Rodentia; Muridae
Source: RNAcentral
UAACAUAUCCUGGAUGAGAGGUGGUGUC